This 513-nucleotide ribosomal RNA is filed under the name uncultured Prevotella sp. Its description in RNAcentral is "bacterial SSU rRNA". It matches the Rfam family "Bacterial small subunit ribosomal RNA", at positions 1 to 507 of the family's 1533-position model. The record is from RNAcentral. Lineage: Bacteria; Pseudomonadati; Bacteroidota; Bacteroidia; Bacteroidales; Prevotellaceae.
GGAGUUUUGAUCCUGGCGUCAGGAUGAACGCUAGCUACAGGCUUAACACAUGCAAGUCGAGGGGAAACGACAUUGAAGCUUGCUUCGAUGGGCGUCGACCGGCGCACGGGUGAGUAACGCGUAUCCAACCUGCCUCUGACUAAGGGAUAACCCGGCGAAAGUCGGACUAAUACCUUAUGAGGUUUUCAGCAGACAUCUAAUGAAAACGAAAGAUUUAUCGGUCAGCGAUGGGGAUGCGUCUGAUUAGCUUGUUGGCGGGGUAACGGCCCACCAAGGCAACGAUCAGUAGGGGUUCUGAGAGGAAGGUCCCCCACAUUGGAACUGAGACACGGUCCAAACUCCUACGGGAGGCAGCAGUGAGGAAUAUUGGUCAACUGGGCGAGAGCCUGAACCAGCCAAGUAGCGUGCAGGAUGACGGCCCUAUGGGUUGUAAACUGCUUUUAUGUGGGGAUAAAGUGAGCUACGUGUAGUUUAUUGCAGGUACCACAUGAAUAAGGACCGGCUAAUUCCGUG